This 468-nucleotide ribosomal RNA is filed under the name uncultured bacterium. RNAcentral describes it as "partial 16S ribosomal RNA". It matches the Rfam family "Bacterial small subunit ribosomal RNA", at positions 28 to 507 of the family's 1533-position model. The record is from RNAcentral.
GACGAACGCUGGCGGCGUGCUUAACACAUGCAAGUCGAACGGAAAGGCCCUGCUUUUGUGGGGUGCUCGAGUGGCGAACGGGUGAGUAACACGUGAGUAACCUGCCCUUGACUUUGGGAUAACUUCAGGAAACUGGGGCUAAUACCGGAUAGGAGCUCCUGCUGCAUGGUGGGGGUUGGAAAGUUUCGGCGGUUGGGGAUGGACUCGCGGCUUAUCAGCUUGUUGGUGGGGUAGUGGCUUACCAAGGCUUUGACGGGUAGCCGGCCUGAGAGGGUGACCGGCCACAUUGGGACUGCGGUACGGCCCAGACUCCUACGGGAGGCAGCAGUGGGGAAUAUUGCCCAAUGGGCGGACGCCUGAUGCGGCAACGCCGCGUGCGGGAUGACGGCCUUCGGGUUGUAAACCGCUUUCGCCUGUGACGAAGCGUGAGUGACGGUAAUGGGUAAAGAAGCACCGGCUAACUACGUG